Non-coding RNA from Acanthosepion pharaonis, 103 nucleotides. The record is from the annotation of a GenBank genome assembly. NCBI's taxonomy places the organism in Eukaryota, Metazoa, Mollusca, Cephalopoda, Sepiida, Sepiidae.
UUACGGCCAUAUCACAUUGAAACAUUGGUUCCCGUACGAUCACCGAAGUUAAGCAAUGUCGAGCCUGGAUGGGUGACUAAUUGAGAAUACUAGGUGCUGUAAG